CCUACGGGUGGCAGCAGUCGAGAAUCAUUCACAAUGGGGGAAACCCUGAUGGUGCGACGCCGCGUGGGGGAAUGAAGGUCUUCGGAUUGUAAACUCCUGUCAUGUGGGAGCAAAUUAAAAAGAUAGUACCACAAGAGGAAGAGCCGGCUAACUCUGUGCCAGCAGCCGCGGUAAUACAGAGGUCUCAAGCGUUGUUCGGAAUCACUGGGCGUAAGGCGUGCGUAGGCUGUUUCGUAAGGCGGGUGUGAAAGGCGCGGGCUCAACCCGCGGACGGCACAUGAUACUGCGAGACUAGAGUAAUGGAGGGGGAACCGGAAUUCUCGGUGUAGCAGUGAAAUGCGUAGAUAUCGAGAGGAACACUCGUGGCGAAGGCGGGUUCCUGGACAUUAACUGACGCUGAGGCACGAAGGCCAGGGGAGCGAAAGGGAUUAGAUACCCCAGUAGUC
This 446-nucleotide ribosomal RNA is filed under the name uncultured bacterium. Its description in RNAcentral is "partial 16S ribosomal RNA". It matches the Rfam family "Bacterial small subunit ribosomal RNA", at positions 338 to 795 of the family's 1533-position model. The record is from RNAcentral.